UUGGCCCAAUUUUUCCGUAACCUUGUGGAAAAGACCCUGGUGCUGGUGAACGCUGCUGUGACUUACUCAAAGCCUUGAUUGGCCACAUUUUGGUACUACGCCAAGUUUGAGCUGGUUCCUCCCACCCCUGCUGAGAUCCCUAGAGCUAUUCAGAGUCUGAAAAAAAUAGUCAAUAGUGCUCAGACUGGUAGCUUCAAACAACUCACAGUUAAGGAAGCUGUGCUGAAUGGUUUGGUGGCCACUGAGGUGUUAUGUGGUUUUAUGUCGGAGAGAUCAUAGGCAAGCGUGGCAUCAUUGGCUAUGAUGUUUGA
Molecule: long non-coding RNA, 311 nt
Filed under: Homo sapiens (human)
Lineage: Eukaryota; Metazoa; Chordata; Mammalia; Primates; Hominidae
Description: non-protein coding lnc-TRDN-4:1
Source: RNAcentral